UAUCUGCCCUUUUUGAGGAGGGAAAUACCAGAAAAUUAAUCACCACAGGAAAGCUCAAAAAGUUUCUCAACGAGCUCUGCUUUCCAGUGUUCCACUUUCUAUUUACCAUUUUAUCUACCUUCUAUCUUCAAAUUACUUCUGCAGCCUGGAUCGGACAGCAAAUUUGUACUUCUCCACUAACUCACUUUCUGUUGGCCACAGCCGAAUUGUACAUCUUGACUCCUUUUUUUUUUUUUUUUUACAGCUUUUCCAUACUGGGGCCCACUUCCUGCCCAGUUGAGGAAAAAAAUCUGGCCUGAAGAUGAAAUGACUGCUUAACAUUACACUAAAACAUCUGGUACCAUUUUAUGCACAGACCCAUGUCUGAGAGCAGGCGAUUCUAGCGGUCUCUCCAGCGGCACAGCGCAUACCCAAACCUCCCCAGGGUGACAUCAUCCCAUAUAUGGACUCUCCAGCCCAGCCCUCCCCCUUUUCCUGGUCCUAAAUUCAUUGCCAGUUCCCCAGUCUGCAGCAAAUGUGCCACGUCAAGACUGGAAAUCACAGCCCUUGAGUGUGUCUCAGUCAGUGCAGCAGAAUUCAGGGGGGAAAGCCGAAUGCAACCCCUGGUGCAGGAAGGGAGGCUUUUCCCAAGGACCAGGAGAGGAUUUUAAGUACAUAGAUGGAAGCUUCUGGAGAUCCUGCUCCGUCGCCCCAGUGUUCAGACUACCUGUUCAGGACAAUGCCGUUGUACAGUAGUCUGCACAUUGGUUAGACUGGGCAAGGGAGAGCAACGCCACGGACUGCUGGGGACAAACAGAAUUUGCUGUGUCCAAGGAGAAGACGUUUAUUUGCUCCUCUUUUUGAAUCUCAUAUCCAGUGUUUUUCUUCACAGGUUUUGCACACGAGGGAUCACGAAGCCCUCGGGGACAGUGCCGGGAAGGGACGCUCGAGAGGAGAGCUGCGGGUAAGGCCUUCUUGACUGCUCACCUGGUCUAUGGCCAGGCGAACCUAGGUGGGGGUCCCAGGAUUUGCCUGAACAUACGAGGAAGACAGAGGUGUAUGUGUGCUGUGUAGCGAUUCAUUUAAUGUUGAAAGAGCAAUAAUGCGUGGUGUAAUGUGAUUUACCGUGUUUGAUCUCUGAAGAUUGAUCAUUCAAGAGUUUUUAUAAGUUCACAGGUUUUUCUCACAUCAAAAUGAGAUCUGAAGAGACCCGCUCCACCUAAGAAUAGCUUAACGAGGCAAGCUUUAAAUUGUUGAAAUUAAUAAUUAAGAGAUUUUAAAAUUUCUAUGAAUGAGGACUGUAUGGGUAACUCUCAACAUCCCAGGAUUGACUCCAUUUUGCCCUUAAGAAUAGUUGUUAUCUUCUACUUACCAAAUAGAUAAGGCUUUUCUGAAUAUUUACUGAGAUAAUAUCAACAUCAGGAAUAAAAGUACCUAUCAAAAAAGGAAGAGCCUGCCAAGUUUUUGCCCCACCAGACAACACAGAUGAGACUUGCACAGACACGAGUGCCAACCCACAAAUUUAUUCAGUCAGCAACUGAAUAAAUCAGAGAAUGGAAACCUCUAUCUUUAGAUACAUAUAUAUAUAUAUAUAUCCUCUGUAUUUGCAUAUUUUAAAAAGAAUCCUAGAAUGGCUGAUAAUCGCUGGUCAGCUGAGCUCUCUUGCCUACAUUUUACAAUGCGUCCACUUCUCUCAGCAUUUAAGAUGAUAAGGUACUUUGUCUAGAAACCACUGAUAAAAAAGGAAUUUGUAAACGAAGGCAAAACUUUUCUUUGGUUGAUUUCCAGCUGUCCUGGAGGUGAAGGAGGGUGGGAGAGGGGGAGGAAGGUGGGAGGGAAAAGCCUCAAGCUGAAUGAAAUCCUAAUAGAAAAAACAACAGACAGUCUGGAUUGCAAAAUGACCUGUGUGAUCUCGCUGAACUUAGAAGUGGGUGCCCUAAAGAAAGUUCUGGAAAAAUGUUCCUGCCUCACUCCUAAUUCUCUCAAUCCCCAUUUAUUUCCACCCCCAAACAAUUCUAUGUAAUGAAAACAUCUGUUCUUCUGUAGGCUUUUGUAAGAAGAAGCAAUCUCUUUGUCUUGCUUUAACUUCCCUGAAGGACCAGGGCUUCCUGAAUAAAUUCUUCUCUGAAUUAUUCAUUUUGCAACGAUUCAAAAAUUGACAUAGGUUCUCUUUUGCAAGGCAUUUUAUUAAAAAAAAACUCACCGAAUUUCACUUUUGUCAAAACAAUUUAUUUUAAAAUUGCCCUGAUAAUCAUCCCAAAACUGGUGUAAAGAACACAUAGUUUUCUCAUCUAUUCAUGGGUUUUGGUUAAAAUAUAAACAGCAAGGUGAAAUUUAGACAUCUUCAAUUAGAUGAUACAAUAUAUUCACCCUUCGUUUUAUAUUGUGAACUGGGCACUUUCAUAUUAAUUAUAUUUACAAGAACAAGUAAGAUCAUAAAAAUGCAUAUAAUUCCUUUUGACUAAGAAAACAAAAAUCUAUGAGGGUAGCUUGCAGAGAAUUUUUUAUAAAAAAUGCAUUUUUAUUAACUGAUCCAAGUACUGAAGAGGAAUGAUAGUUACAAGGUACCAUAGCCAUGUUUAAGGUUUACUCAAAGUUUUUUUUUUUUAACCUGCUUUCAUUUAAUUUAUAUUUAAUUUAAAUUUCUUUGUUCAUAUUAAAUGACCCUUUGUGUCUCAAAGAAACCAACCACUGCUGGUCCCUCACUUAUUUUCUCCAUCAGGAUGAUAUUUAGUACAAGGGUAAAAGGGACAUAAAGUUACCCUUGGCGACAGUACUGGAACAGAAAUAAGAGAAUUACUUCAUAAAGGGGGUGACCAAGGAACCUCUGCACAUGCUCGCUGGAGUGCAAACAACUCAUUCAUGACGCAAACUUAACAAAUGGAAAGGAACAGUACUUAUCUUAAAAUAUUAAGAGUUAAAGACAAAAAGAAAAAGGUCGUUUUAUAAACUCCUGCUGAAUGAGGGCAGAAUGGUAGAUUAUGCCAACAUCUGUACAAACAUACUUUAGAACACCCAUAGCUAUUUCCAGGGUAAUUAAUGUUUAAUUGUACUUUGAUAUUACUUUAAAGGGAGAUAUACAAAUAUUUUAGGGAUCAUGGAAUCUAUUCCAGAGGAAACUAACCAACAAUGAAUAUCUUCAACUAAAACUACCCCUGGAUUUAAUGGUUGCAUGCAUCAUUCCUUUAAUUGGGCAGAGUUAACUGGAUCAAAUUAUUUAUGGGCGAGACAGGGAAAACUAUAUAGAAUUAUAGUAAUUUUUAAUUUCCACCACCAUAUUCUUUGUAAGUGAAUCAUACUAUAAUUAUUUUCUGUUGCAUUGAAUGCAGCAACAAUAACAAAAUAGUAACAGAAGGUAUUUGUUUUUUACAUACUUUGAUCUUGUAAUUAUUGAAAUAUCAGCCAAGUUUAUUGAUGUUUUUGAUUGUGUUAAGAAAAAAAAAAGUUCUGCUCUGAAGUGAUUGUCAGAAACAAUAAGACAUUUAAUUUCUUGAAAUUAAAUACAGAGAAGACUGUAUUUAUCAAUUCUUUGUUUAAACUUUGUGAUAUCUAAUCACUGCAUAAAGGUUCAGAUUUGUGGGCAACUGUACUUUUUUCAGUCUCUAAAAACUAUUUUUCUCUCCAUAAAGUUUCCAUUUGCUAUUUCCUCAGAAUUUUACAAUUAAAGGUAAAUAAUAAAUUAUUUGUUUUCUUUAAAGUUCCUUUAAAAAAUCCCAAGAAACCUCCUUAGAUAAUAAUGUGUGUUCUGUUGUUUUUUAAAGAAAUCCCACUUACUAGAAAUUUGACCAUUUUGAUAUUUUGCUUGGGGAGGGGAGUUUGCUAAAUAUUUUUAUAGAUUUGAAUUUAUAAAUAAUAUUAAAAUCACCAGGCUAAUUGUUUUUGACUCAUCAGGAUUACUAUUAUAUCUAUAUAUGUAUGCCAUUAACUCUUUCUUGUAUGAAUUAUAAGAAAAUUUUCCAAAAGGUCUGAUUUUGGUUUUGGGGUAUGAAGCAGAUUUUUCCCUUUCUGGGUUUCACAUACUAUUCUGGAUGGCACUGACAAUGCCCAAGCACAUCUGCGCACCACUGUGGGUAGAGGCCUCCCAGUAUGGCAGGUCCCUGAAGUUAAUUAAGAGGAGGAUAACUUAGGCCCACAAUGUCUUUUAUCUGAAUUUCACAUCCGUACUUAGUAACUUUGCAUUUAAAAGGAAAAUGAGAAAUAAGUUUGUGUCAUUUAACAUAAUGUUGGUAACAAUACAUCCCUUGUAAAAUCCCACUAUUAAAGCAUCAGACACCAAAGGCUGUUGGAUUCAGUGCCAACUAUAUUAGGCUCAUUAAUUAUUUUGAAAAUGGCUGUCAUUUCCAUAUAAAUGAAAAUUUUCUUUUUCAUGGACAAAGUUAUGGUAUUUAUCUACUACAAGAAACAUGUAUAAACAACCUCAUUAUCUUUAACUUCAGUAUUAAAAUAUGCAGAGUCUUUGUGAAGAGGAAAAACAUCUGGUUCAAUUACUCUGAACUCUGACUGCAUGUGGGCCAGUAAUAAUAUGGAUUGGAUUUAAGAAUAAACCUUGUGUUUAAUCUUUAUUUUUCCUUAAAGUUUUAAUGUGAGUGUUCUGUUAUUCCAAUUAUCCAUGUUAGCACGUUUGGAACAAAUGUAUAAGUGUACUUUCUGAAUAAAGUCAAACGUCUAACUUGUUUUUAGUUCCAUAAUGUUUUAAUGUUUAAUUCUAUUGUGUGUUUUUCUCCCUUUCCCCUUACUCUCCAAAAUCACCAAAUCUGGAAAACAGACUGAUUGUAUCUGUUCAUGAACAAAGGAAACCUGAAGGAACCAAGGGCCUGGCUGGACAGAGUUGUCAUGUGUCUGCCUGUCUACACUUGCUGUGCAGAACAUCCGCUCACCUGUACAGCAGGCACAGACAGGCAGUCACAUGACAACCCAGCCUGAAUGACCACCAGCCAUUGAAAGAAGGCAGCCCUCACACCAUACAAUCUACACCAAGAGCUACAACCAAAAUGAGGGGCUUGGGGGCCUGGGAAUUUAAUCUGUUAACUUAAUACUUAACUCGUAUGUAUUAUUAUUUUAUUUUGAUUCAAAUAUUAAAACCCACCAAAAGUAAAGUAAGUGGUGCCUAUUAAAUAUAAUAAAACCCAUUUCUGAAAAUGUU
Non-coding RNA from Oryctolagus cuniculus (rabbit), 5122 nucleotides. The record is from RefSeq and is a predicted model, not a curated record. Lineage: Eukaryota; Metazoa; Chordata; Mammalia; Lagomorpha; Leporidae.